UACGAAGGGGGCUAGCGUUGCUCGGAAUCACUGGGCGUAAAGGGUGCGUAGGCGGGUCUUUAAGUCAGGGGUGAAAUCCUGGAGCUCAACUCCGGAACUGCCUUCGAUACUGCGGGUCUCGAGUCCGGGAGAGGUGAGUGGAAUUCCUAGUGUAGAGGUGAAAUUCGUAGAUAUUAGGAAGAACACCAGUGGCGAAGGCGGCUCACUGGCCCGGUACUGACGCUGAGGCGCGAAAGCGUGGGGAGCAAACAGG
This 253-nucleotide ribosomal RNA is filed under the name uncultured bacterium. Its description in RNAcentral is "partial 16S ribosomal RNA". It matches the Rfam family "Bacterial small subunit ribosomal RNA", at positions 524 to 776 of the family's 1533-position model. The record is from RNAcentral.